UGUGUGUGUGUGUGUGUGUGUGUGUGUGUGUGUGUGUGUGUGUGUGUGUGUGUGUGUGUGUGUGUGUGUGUGUGACGUGGUUUCCUUCUCCGCAGGACUCGUCUCGUGUUCCUGGCGAUGGUGGCAGCCAUGGUUGUGGACGUCAUGGCAAAACCAGCUUGUGAAAAUAAUAUGUCUACAGCUCAACUUAGAGAUCUCCCUCUCGUAAAAAAACCUCUAUCAGAACUUCUUGCUAAAGUGUCAGACGAUCAGCUUGCAACUCGAGUUUACGAAUGCUUUACUCAAGAUGGUAUGGACUGUGGUCCUUGCCGGCAAGGAGAACUAGGACAAGUCGUCGCACUGCUGCCUGUCAUGCUGGUAGACUGCCAGUCUAGUAUCUCAAAUGUGUGCCCAUCUGAUCUGAAAGAAAAGUCUGCCAAAGUCGUCAAUGCGAUGUCAUCCACUUACAGAGGUACUAGAUACAAUGAGAUCCUAUUGAGGCUGUAGGAACACUAAGAAGCAACACAAGACUCAUCUACUGAUUCCCCGCUGACAAUUGUUGGGAUGAUGUAUUUCAUUCAGUCACGACCACCAUCACUUUCCCAAUGGUACUACGUCUGCAAAACCAGUUAUUAUCCAUUUCCCAGGAUAUGCUAUUACAGAGGAUUGUGUUAUGGAUUUUUUCCCCUUUAACAAUGCAGUUUUCAUUCAUUUGUUUUGGUCUUGUUAUUUGCCCAGCUAAUGUUUUGUACAAUCAUUAUUAUUGGUAUUUAAUAAAUUGUUUUUAAUUUUU
This is an RNA transcript of Portunus trituberculatus (swimming crab), 772 nucleotides long. RefSeq lists it as uncharacterized. The transcript is spliced from 3 exons. Lineage: Eukaryota; Metazoa; Arthropoda; Malacostraca; Decapoda; Portunidae. The record is from RefSeq and is a predicted model, not a curated record.